CGUGGGUAACCUGCCCAAGAGAUCGGGAUAACACCUGGAAACAGAUGCUAAUACCGGAUAACAACAGAUGAUGCCUAUCAACUUGUUUAAAAAGAUGGUUCUGCUAUCACUCUUGGAUGGACCUGCGGUGCAUUAGCUAGUUGGUAGGGUAACGGCCUACCAAGGCGAUGAUGCAUAGCCGAGUUGAGAGACUGAUCGGCCACAUUGGGACUUAGACACGGCCCAAACUCCUACGGGAGGCAGCAGGG
RNAcentral lists this ribosomal RNA (248 nucleotides) under uncultured Lactobacillus sp. RNAcentral describes it as "partial 16S ribosomal RNA". It matches the Rfam family "Bacterial small subunit ribosomal RNA", at positions 116 to 354 of the family's 1533-position model. Lineage: Bacteria; Bacillati; Bacillota; Bacilli; Lactobacillales; Lactobacillaceae. The record is from RNAcentral.